Non-coding RNA from Corylus avellana, 413 nucleotides. The record is from RefSeq and is a predicted model, not a curated record. NCBI's taxonomy places the organism in Eukaryota, Viridiplantae, Streptophyta, Magnoliopsida, Fagales, Betulaceae.
CGGAGGGGGAGCCAUGCAAGCCGGCCACAGGCUCCACAGAUAGAGGAUGAUGAUAGCUUGCAUGCCCUCACCAUGAUUGUGCUUUAAUUAAAUUAGCAGGUUGUCAGGCUGUAGAGUGAAAAAUUCGCUAAGAUAAAGAUUCCGAGUGAAUGGCUUACAACGUCAGGUUUGCUUAGUUAGUAUUUAAUUAUUAAUGUUCUACGAAGGUCUAUUUGGAAGCUCGAAAUCUAUAAUGAUGAUGCAUAAUGUUAUUUAGAUCAUAUAUAUGUUAAUAGUCUCAGAUUAUUCAUUAUGUUUCCGCAAAUUCAUACUCUGAGUAGUUAGGCGCAUUUAGAGCAACAUCAUUGGUUAAUUGGUCUGGUGGAAAUUGCAUGUAACACUCAACGUUAAUCAAAGUUGAUUGAUUUAACUCA